UUGGAUUAAUAUACAGCAAUAACAACAACAAUGACAAUCCAUUAUUCCCACAAAGUGGGGUCUGGGGAGGGUAAUUUGUACUUUAUACACAGACUUUACUCCUACCCGAUAGACAGAGAAGUUAUUUCUGAUAUACCCAGGAAGAUGAAAAAAUAUAUGGCAUUACAUCAUUGAAAAUAAUGAAGGGUCCCAACUAUUAAUGACUAUACACAUAGAAAUAUUAGAAUAGAACUACCCACAAUAGAAUAGAAUUGGAUGUCAUUUUGUAAUCACAGUAAAAGUACAGAUACAUUGACUUUUGAAGCAAAUUGGAGUGACCUUAUCUUUCUGCAGUAGAAAAGAGUUGCUUCAAUACAAUCUUUCAAGAGUCACCAUAAGCAGUUUAUAAGCAACUUCAUAUUGCUUUUAUCCUCCUAAUUUGAGUUUGAGUUACUCUUCAAAGAACCACUAAAUAAAUACUACGUCGAGAACACAGUUGAUAGCCUUGCCAAAUUAUAUAAAAAGAUCGAAUAAUAAAGAUCUAAAUUCACGGAAUAGGUGAACUUGCAAUAAUAGUUGUAACAGUAGCUUGUAUUAAUAUAACCUGACAAAAUUAGAACUAAACAUGAAAUUCCGAUGGGGAGCAUUCUAGAUUAGUUGUGGAUUAACAUGAAUAAGGAAAUUAAUAGAGAUCAGUAUGAUGUGAUUAUAGAUUGACUUAAAGGGGUUUUACAGACUGCUCGAGGUGAUGGGCUUGGUAUUUCGACAUGAAUAUGGUAAAUAGUAAUCUAUCGCAAUUUGUGUUUUUAUAACCUGCAUAGUUCAUAUAAAAAAAGUAAAAGUACAACCUAAUAUAAUCCCACAUAGUAGGGUCUGGGGAGGGUAGCAUGUACGCAGACCUUACCCCUACCCUGGGGUAGAGAGGCUGUUUCUGGGGUCUGGGGAGGAUAGUAUGUACGCAGACCUUACCCCUACCCUGGGGUAGAAAGGCCGUUUCCAAAUAGACCCCCGGCAUCCUUCCCUUCAAGAACUUCCCACCUUUGCUCUUGGGGAGACUCGAACUCACAACCUCUCGGUU
This 1057-nucleotide long non-coding RNA is filed under the name Nicotiana benthamiana. Its description in RNAcentral is "long non-coding RNA (NBEN_LNC023669)". The record is from RNAcentral. Lineage: Eukaryota; Viridiplantae; Streptophyta; Magnoliopsida; Solanales; Solanaceae.